Molecule: long non-coding RNA, 2125 nt
Organism: Acipenser ruthenus (sterlet)
Lineage: Eukaryota; Metazoa; Chordata; Actinopteri; Acipenseriformes; Acipenseridae
Exons: 3
Source: RefSeq, a predicted model, not a curated record
AAUAUUUCUUACUUUUGUAUCUUAUGUGGAACGCUUGAUUCUAAAAUUAUCUUUAACUACACUGCACAGUAGCUGAAGACAGCAUGUCAAAUUUUACUUUUUUUCCAUAAGGAGAGAUAACGGGGGUCUUUACGACUCUAAGAGAAAAUUGCUUUUUUUUUAUAACCAACUAAACAGCUUCAGUCAACAUAUGUUGGUGAUCAGGGACAGAGGCUACGAACACAUUGCCAUUUUCAUGAUAGCAGCUUUUUGAUUGUAUAUUAACAAAGGUCCCAUAAGGCAUUGGCCUUUUCCCUUUGGGAAGUCAUGAAUACGAGACUAUGAAGCAUGCACGUCAGAUCUUCCUCAAUUAAUCCACCAUUAGCCUGCUUGGGAUCCACGACUCACUGCUUUUUGUAACUGUGUGCUGCUCAAAUCUAAUUAUUCUUUCUCUUUCUGUGGGUAAAAGAAAGAGAGUCCUGUGCAGAGCUAGCCUUGUAGCUGAUUUACUCUCUCUCUUUCUCUGUAUCUCUUUUUUUGUUUAUUUGCAGUGGAAACCAACAACUGGCUAAGAUCAGAACAUUUUGAUCCUUUUGUUGAAAACCUGUGUGGUUGUUUUUACCUGCAAAUUCAGGAGCUCACUGCUAUAGUGUCCAGGACUCUAUUGACGCUGCAGCCAGUCUUUUGCUCAGAGCACGCGGGCAACGCCUGCAGACUGCAUCGAUAUCCUUUUCUUGGGUUUAUUAGCACAGUAACCCAUAUAAAUCAACUGAGGACUGAGGCAAGGCAACCUUAUAAUCCAAGGCAUAUCACAGUUAAACAUCAGACGACACCCUGGCUUUGUGCUCAGUGGGAGGUUGCCUUUAAACCUGGAUUGAAAGGGAUUGCUCAGUACUCUCGGAUAGCUGCCAAUGUAACUGUACAGCCACUGCAACUGUGGACUGGAGAUGGAAAUCAGAUGGCUGGACAUUCAACAGAUCACUGUGAAAGGGAACCCUUAGAAUGCAGAUGCUUCAGAAAAACCAUUGAUGGGGCCUUUCCUUUGCGAUAAAAGGCAUCUUCAAUCAAUCUUUUCAAAACUUCCCUGUUGGCAAAUGAUUGUGGAUCUUGUGCUCUCUUUAGAUGCAUAUUGCUUCCUUCUUUAAGGCUCUCUUCGGUGACGGGUAUUCUUGGGUGGAUAAUACGGAUUACGUUGUUAUUGCUUAAGAAUACGCGUAGUCGAGGAGAGUACUUUCUUCAGCGUCUUCAAGGAGCUUAAAUCUGUUCGAUCCUAAAGGGCUGGCCUGCCUGGUUUCUUUAUACUGUGGGCAAUUACAGAUACACUAACACGAUAUUGAGGUCCAUUUAUUAAGUAACCAGACAGAAUAAGAUUUAAGCUAUAUUAUUAUUAUUAUUAUUAUUAUUAUUAUUAUUAUUAUUAUUAUUAUUAUUAUUGUAUUCUUAGUCAUGUGCAUGUAAAGAUUGUUAUUAAUAUUAUUUUUUAUUAUUUUUAGUUUAUUUCUGUUACAUAUUUUUCUACUUUUUUCCCCUAUUUUUUAAGCCCUGCUGUGUAUUUCUCCCCCACCAUGACACUUUUGUAUUUUGUGUUGAUCUCUUGACCAGCUUUUUUUUUUUUUUAACAAUUAAACAUGUUUUACCAUUCAACACAAUUUCAUUUUUGUGUUUUCUCUUGUAUUUCAAAUGUAAGUACCUUACACUAUUUUAUACUCAAAUAUUGAAAAGGAAGGAAACAAUAAUGACUGCCAUACUGCGUGGAUUUUUUUUAUGCAUUCUAUAACAUCAUAUACCAUAUGUACACAUUAUCUCUCAGUAUCUCUGUGUUUUUUAAAUUAAAUUUAUUGUCCACAGUAUCUGCUUUGGAUGUUUGCUGCAUCACAAGGGCAAUGAAACAAAAUGUCCACCAUGGUUGCGACAGCUCAAUUGAUGCAAUGAUUAGAUGACUAUUAAACAGCACAAUUAUCUGAAAUUACACAAUAAGCUCAUGUAGGCAUGCUAGACCUUUUUCAAUGUAUAAAAUACUGCAAGCAUACUUAUCAAUUUUAUUAUUUCCCAAAUCUCUCAGAAUGUGAUUAGUACAGUACAAAGUGCAAUUAAAUGUUUGUAAAUUUGAUCUUGACAUUUUUACAAAAAAAAAAAAAAUCAUAAA